GACGAACGCUGGCGGCGUGCUUAACACAUGCAAGUCGAACGGAAAGGCCCCCUUGUGGGGUACUAGAGUGGCGAACGGGUGAGUAACACGUGAGUAACCUACCCUUGACUUUGGGAUAACUUCAGGAAACUGGGGCUAAUACCGGAUAGGAGCUCCUGCUGCAUGGUGGGGGUUGGAAAGUUUCGGCGGUUGGGGGUGGGCUCGCGGCUUAUCAGCUUGUUGGUGGGGUAGUGGCUCACCAAGGCUGUGACGGGUAGCCGGCCUGAGAGGGUGACCGGCCACAUUGGGACUGAGAUACGGCCCAGACUCCUACGGGAGGCAGCAGUGGGGAAUAUUGCACAAUGGGCGGAAGCCUGAUGCAGCAACGCCGCGUGCGGGAUGACGGCCUUCGGGUUGUAAACCGCUUUCGCCUGUGACGAAGCGUGAGUGACGGUAAUGGGUAAAGAAGCACCGGCUAACUACGUG
RNAcentral lists this ribosomal RNA (465 nucleotides) under uncultured bacterium. RNAcentral describes it as "partial 16S ribosomal RNA". It matches the Rfam family "Bacterial small subunit ribosomal RNA", at positions 28 to 507 of the family's 1533-position model. The record is from RNAcentral.